CUUUAUACUCAUGCUUUAAAAUUUGUAAUCCACUGAUAUGAUGUUGCAUCUACUGGAUGAUCUUUGAACUCUUUCUGUUCAUUGCUGAGGAGUGAGGGUCUGGCCUUAUGUUUUAUUUGGGUUUCACAUUAGCAUGGGCGUAUAGAGACCAGUGUUCCAAAAAUAUUUUAGUUCUUGCGAUGUGUGUAUGUGCUGCCCUUGCAUGAAGUAUCCUAUCCCACUGAUGGUCUUUCUUUCUUGAAUGUGAUCGUGAAGUUGAUAUGCAAGGAGCUUGUUUAUUGGGCUUGGAUGGAGCUAAACUGAAUUAAAUAUUAGAUCAUUUGUUCACUAAUAAAUUGAGUCAAAUGAAGCUCCAUAAUGUGAUCAGCUCAAUUCCAACGUUAUGCACUGUUUGGUUCAACCUUUUGCCUUCCAAAUAGUACUUCUAAGUUCUAACAAAUUUUUAUUUUGCUAUAAAGUGAAGGUAAUAACUAAUAACAAUGCAUAUCCGGUAAAAUAUAUAAGUUUUGUUCAACAUGACUGAGGAAAGUAAAAUGGAAAUUGUCUUUUGCUGUCCAACCAAAAAAACUUUUUGAUUCUUAAAAUAUCAAAAAGAGAAAUUUUAGCAAGUUAAUCAAAAAGGGUUAUAUUAUGCAUGGAAGUAAGUUAGAGGUUGAGGGGUGGUUGUGAAUGGAGUUCAACCUUGUUUGAUAUGUUCUUUUAGGAUGUAAUGGAAUGUUAUUUACAUUUAAUAGCCUCAUAAUAUCCAUUUUUUGUUGACUCCUAAAGCAGGGGGUUAAAGGCUAUGAUAAAAAGUUUUCAAGUAGUCUACACCCAUUUAACUUUUUGCUCUUCUAAAAUUACUAAACAAAGUGAAGAUAAUUGGCAUUGUUGUACAUUCAUUAACUUCCUUCCUUAUUGCACUUAAAAUUCUCAUGCAAUGCAUUAGUGUUUGUUUAGCACUCUUUGGUGGAGCCAAAUCUCAAACUAUAGUGCACAUGUUUGGAGCAUAAUGAUUCUACUAAUAUAAUUCAACAAGAUGAAAUCAAGUUGGGCAGCUUUGAGUGACCCAACAGGUUGACUUUUGAAAUAACAGUCAAAUAAUGUCAAUGCCAUACCAUUGAUAUCACAUCAAUGUCCAAAGCCUAAUAUAAAGCAUAUACUAGGUAUUUUCCUGUUAAUGGAGAAGUCUUUUGAUGACUGAGAGUACUAUGGGCAGUAUUGUGGUUUUAAUUGUAUUAAAUAAAACAAUAAGGGAGAACUUUUGAUCAAAAUAACAAUAUCAUAAUCCAUUAUGCCAUUUCUUGAGAAUGAUGAUAGUUGCUAGAAGCAGAGAACUUUACAAUUUAAUAAGUCCUUAAUUUGUAGCUUUGUCUACCCUUUUACAUCUUUUCCUGGAAAUCAACUCUUAUUUUAGCUACUGCCAAAAUCCGGAUAUUUUUGCCUUCUAGUUGCUCCAUGUGGUAAUUGUGGGAUGCUUUUGUCACAGUGGCUGAAUGUUCUCUCAUCCCAUAUGCUUCCAGGAUAUCAGUGGUUGCAAUUGUAGCUUUUAGUUUAAACUGUAUUUUGCUUUCAGUUUUCUGAUCUGUUACAGAUGACUUUCAUCUUCUCUGAUUGAUUUUAGAAACUGGAUUAGUUUUCCAGGUAUUCUUACUUCUGCUACUUUAUGCCACUUACAGAUGGAUAAUCGACCCACCUUUGG
This 1681-nucleotide unclassified non-coding RNA is filed under the name Hevea brasiliensis (rubber tree). Lineage: Eukaryota; Viridiplantae; Streptophyta; Magnoliopsida; Malpighiales; Euphorbiaceae. The record is from RNAcentral.